GGGGUAGUGGAGUCUGGUACCACGUUGGGCUCAUAACCCAAAGGUCGCAGGUUCAAAUCCUGCCCCC
Molecule: transfer RNA, 67 nt
Filed under: marine eukaryotic metagenome
Rfam family: tRNA
About the family: Transfer RNA (tRNA) molecules are approximately 80 nucleotides in length. Their secondary structure includes four short double-helical elements and three loops (D, anti-codon, and T loops).
Source: RNAcentral